RNAcentral lists this ribosomal RNA (648 nucleotides) under Salmonella enterica subsp. enterica. RNAcentral's name for it is "partial 23S ribosomal RNA". It matches the Rfam family "Bacterial large subunit ribosomal RNA", at positions 645 to 1293 of the family's 2925-position model. Lineage: Bacteria; Pseudomonadati; Pseudomonadota; Gammaproteobacteria; Enterobacterales; Enterobacteriaceae. The record is from RNAcentral.
GUUAACCGAAUAGGGGAGCCGUAGGGAAACCGAGUCUUAACCGGGCGUUAAGUUGCAGGGUAUAGACCCGAAACCCGGUGAUCUAGCCAUGGGCAGGUUGAAGGUUGGGUAACACUAACUGGAGGACCGAACCGACUAAUGUUGAAAAAUUAGCGGAUGACCUGUGGCUGGGGGUGAAAGGCCAAUCAAACCGGGAGAUAGCUGGUUCUCCCCGAAAGCUAUUUAGGUAGCGCCUCGUGAAUUCAUCUCCGGGGGUAGAGCACUGUUUCGGCUAGGGGGCCAUCCCGGCUUACCAACCCGAUGCAAACUGCGAAUACCGGAGAAUGUUAUCACGGGAGACACACGGCGGGUGCUAACGUCCGUCGUGAAGAGGGAAACAACCCAGACCGCCAGCUAAGGUCCCAAAGUCAUGGUUAAGUGGGAAACGAUGUGGGAAGGCCCAGACAGCCAGGAUGUUGGCUUAGAAGCAGCCAUCAUUUAAAGAAAGCGUAAUAGCUCACUGGUCGAGUCGGCCUGCGCGGAAGAUGUAACGGGGCUAAACCAUGCACCGAAGCUGCGGCAGCGACACUGUGUGUUGUUGGGUAGGGGAGCGUUCUGUAAGCCUGUGAAGGUGUGUCGUGAGGCAUGCUGGAGGUAUCAGAAGUGCGA